AGCGGCGGACGGGUGAGUAACACGUGGGCAACCUGCCUACAUAGAGAGGAAUAGCCUUCCGAAAGGGAGAUUAAUACUCAUAACAUUGCAGUUUCGCAUGAAACAGCAAUUAAAGGAGCAAUCCGCUAUGAGAUGGGCCCGCGGCGCAUUAGCUAGUUGGUGAGGUAACGGCUCACCAAGGCGACGAUGCGUAGCCGACCUGAGAGGGUGAUCGGCCACAUUGGGACUGAGACACGGCCCAGACUCCUACGGGAGGCAGCAGUGGGGAAUAUUGCACAAUGGGGGAAACCCUGAUGCAAGCAACGCCGCGUGAGUGAUGACGGCCUUCGGGUUGUAAAGCUCUGUCUUCUAGGGUACGAUAAUGACGGUACCUGAGGAGGAAGCCACGGCUAACUACGUGCCAGCAGCCGC
This 411-nucleotide ribosomal RNA is filed under the name uncultured bacterium. RNAcentral describes it as "bacterial SSU rRNA". It matches the Rfam family "Bacterial small subunit ribosomal RNA", at positions 94 to 518 of the family's 1533-position model. The record is from RNAcentral.